AUUGAACGCUGGCGGCAUGCCUUACACAUGCAAGUCGAACGGUAACAGGUUAAGCUGACGAGUGGCGAACGGGUGAGUAAUGUAUCGGAACGUGCCCAGUCGUUGGGGAUAACUGCUCGAAAGAGCAGCUAAUACCGCAUACGACCUGAGGGUGAAAGCGGGGGAUCGCAAGACCUCGCGCGAUUGGAUCGGCCGAUAUCAGAUUAGGUAGUUGGUGAGGUAAAGGCUCACCAAGCCGACGAUCUGUAGCUGGUCUGAGAGGACGACCAGCCACACUGGGACUGAGACACGGCCCAGACUCCUACGGGAGGCAGCAGUGGGGAAUUUUGGACAAUGGGCGCAAGCCUGAUCCAGCCAUGCCGCGUGCGGGAAGAAGGCCUUCGGGUUGUAAACCGCUUUUGGCAGGGAAGAAAAGGUUCUGGCUAAUACCUGGGACUCAUGACGGUACCUGAAGAAUAAGCACCGGCUAACUACGUG
RNAcentral lists this ribosomal RNA (477 nucleotides) under uncultured bacterium. RNAcentral's name for it is "partial 16S ribosomal RNA". It matches the Rfam family "Bacterial small subunit ribosomal RNA", at positions 30 to 507 of the family's 1533-position model. The record is from RNAcentral.